CGGGCAUUCACUGCUCUCCACAUUCUCAAAUGUUGUCUCUGCAGUUUUAACACAAAAGCACAUCCUCCUCUGUUUUGGUGUGUUAAAGACAGAGGCUAGGAGGACACAUGGAAGUGUGAAAUAAGAAUUUGGAAAGCGCAGGGUCUCAGCAGCUUACUCAUGGAGAGGAGACAGCUCUGCUGCAAGAUUGUUUGUGUUUCUACAAUCUGAAGCACCAUACAAGAAACAGACUCUUUUCUCCUUGUGUAUCUGCAAACAGAAUGUCUGUGGGGAAGCAACCUUACAUCGAGAGAGACCUUGGGCAGGGAGAGGGAUGUGUACCAGAACUUGUAGAUCAUUCUAGAAAGCAUACAGGCAGCAAAUGUCACAGUUUAAAAACUAUCCUCUUUUCAAGUUUUUUUUUUUAAGCCUAAUUAUAUCGUGAAGAAAGUCUCAGUUUGGUGCUAACAAAGAGAUUUCUAACACUUUUAUCUUCCUUUUUUAAGAAACUGAAGAUGAGCCUCAGGCUCAGUGUCUUCAGCAGAAACUACAUAGAGCUAGAGUUUAAUAACAUUAUAUGGUUUUUGUAAAUGAAAAAAAUUCAGAAUGCCAUCUUUUUAGGUGACACUUUUUUAAAAGUAGUGUUACAAAACUUUCUUUUAAAAAAUAUUUAGGCUAAAAAUUUUUAAAAAUGAUUUAAAACAAAUGUCAAGUAAAGUGAAUGUAACACAUACAAAUAGUAAUCACUGUACACACUGAUGUGGCUAAAAAAAAAAAAAAUCACCAGACUAAUGGUGGGAGAAGAAAACCAAAUCCACCACUAGAUGGAUUAGGCAUCAGAAUCCCAGAGAUGCCAGGAAAUCACAAAGUCAGGACUUGUUUCCACAGGUCACUGUGAAGUCAGAGCUGCUAUCCACAGGCCUGUUCCCAAAUAGAAGACAUAACUUCCACUUGACAGUAUAAAUUAUUUUUCAAAAUGGUCUUUUCUUCUCCUUGUAAACAAUAUUCAUUGUGUUCAAACUUGUAAAACAAUUCAGCUUGAUGUCUUCAUUCCCAUGUUAUGCCAGGACUGACAUGGCAAGUUUACUGAAGAGGGACCCCAGAUAUUAGAAAAACCCUACCAGAUAUGUGGGGAGUGAGUCUAUGAGAAGAAAAAUGACAAAAGAUUGUCUCAGCAUAAAAUUUCACUCCAGAUUCAGUGUUAAACUCGGGCUUAUGCACCUGCAUCUUGAGUGUUGUUUGCCAAAGUAAAUUAAAAAAAAAUGUGCUUUGCACCAGGCUGGUGAAACCCACAGAAAUAGCUGACCUAAACAAGGGGGAGUUCUUGGCCCCCAGACUGAUAGCUGGGGAACCAGCAGGAGGCCUCUGCACUCUAUGGGACCUCUUGUAGUAGAUCAGUACUUAUCCCUAGCAUAGGAAUGGACUUUGGGAACUCAUUACACAUAGAGGGAUACUCCCUGAGCCUAGACACACGGGGGUGGGCCUAGGCCCUAACCCAAAUGAUAUGACAGACUCUGAAGACCACCUAUGAAGGCCUCAACCUCCCUGGGGAGCAUAAAGAGUAUGGG
Molecule: long non-coding RNA, 1547 nt
Filed under: Cricetulus griseus (Chinese hamster)
Lineage: Eukaryota; Metazoa; Chordata; Mammalia; Rodentia; Cricetidae
Description: lncRNA (ENSCGRG00015041782.1)
Source: RNAcentral